RNAcentral lists this ribosomal RNA (1482 nucleotides) under Klebsiella sp. RNAcentral's name for it is "bacterial SSU rRNA". It matches the Rfam family "Bacterial small subunit ribosomal RNA". The record is from RNAcentral. Lineage: Bacteria; Pseudomonadati; Pseudomonadota; Gammaproteobacteria; Enterobacterales; Enterobacteriaceae.
GUUUUUUUUCUUCGCUCAGAUUGAACGCUGGCGGCAGGCCUAACACAUGCAAGUCGAGCGGUAGCACAGAGAGCUUGCUCUCGGGUGACGAGCGGCGGACGGGUGAGUAAUGUCUGGGAAACUGCCUGAUGGAGGGGGAUAACUACUGGAAACGGUAGCUAAUACCGCAUAAUGUCGCAAGACCAAAGUGGGGGACCUUCGGGCCUCAUGCCAUCAGAUGUGCCCAGAUGGGAUUAGCUAGUAGGUGGGGUAACGGCUCACCUAGGCGACGAUCCCUAGCUGGUCUGAGAGGAUGACCAGCCACACUGGAACUGAGACACGGUCCAGACUCCUACGGGAGGCAGCAGUGGGGAAUAUUGCACAAUGGGCGCAAGCCUGAUGCAGCCAUGCCGCGUGUGUGAAGAAGGCCUUCGGGUUGUAAAGCACUUUCAGCGGGGAGGAAGGCGUUAAGGUUAAUAACCUUGGCGAUUGACGUUACCCGCAGAAGAAGCACCGGCUAACUCCGUGCCAGCAGCCGCGGUAAUACGGAGGGUGCAAGCGUUAAUCGGAAUUACUGGGCGUAAAGCGCACGCAGGCGGUCUGUCAAGUCGGAUGUGAAAUCCCCGGGCUCAACCUGGGAACUGCAUUCGAAACUGGCAGGCUAGAGUCUUGUAGAGGGGGGUAGAAUUCCAGGUGUAGCGGUGAAAUGCGUAGAGAUCUGGAGGAAUACCGGUGGCGAAGGCGGCCCCCUGGACAAAGACUGACGCUCAGGUGCGAAAGCGUGGGGAGCAAACAGGAUUAGAUACCCUGGUAGUCCACGCCGUAAACGAUGUCGAUUUGGAGGUUGUGCCCUUGAGGCGUGGCUUCCGGAGCUAACGCGUUAAAUCGACCGCCUGGGGAGUACGGCCGCAAGGUUAAAACUCAAAUGAAUUGACGGGGGCCCGCACAAGCGGUGGAGCAUGUGGUUUAAUUCGAUGCAACGCGAAGAACCUUACCUGGUCUUGACAUCCACAGAACUUUCCAGAGAUGGAUUGGUGCCUUCGGGAACUGUGAGACAGGUGCUGCAUGGCUGUCGUCAGCUCGUGUUGUGAAAUGUUGGGUUAAGUCCCGCAACGAGCGCAACCCUUAUCCUUUGUUGCCAGCGGUUAGGCCGGGAACUCAAAGGAGACUGCCAGUGAUAAACUGGAGGAAGGUGGGGAUGACGUCAAGUCAUCAUGGCCCUUACGACCAGGGCUACACACGUGCUACAAUGGCAUAUACAAAGAGAAGCGACCUCGCGAGAGCAAGCGGACCUCAUAAAGUAUGUCGUAGUCCGGAUUGGAGUCUGCAACUCGACUCCAUGAAGUCGGAAUCGCUAGUAAUCGUAGAUCAGAAUGCUACGGUGAAUACGUUCCCGGGCCUUGUACACACCGCCCGUCACACCAUGGGAGUGGGUUGCAAAAGAAGUAGGUAGCUUAACCUUCGGGAGGGCGCUUACCACUUUGUGAUUCAUGACUGGGGUGA